Molecule: ribosomal RNA, 252 nt
Filed under: uncultured bacterium
Lineage: Bacteria
Description: partial 16S ribosomal RNA
Rfam family: Bacterial small subunit ribosomal RNA
Source: RNAcentral
UACGAAGGGGGCUAGCGUUGUUCGGAAUCACUGGGCGUAAAGCGCACGUAGGCGGAUCUUUAAGUCAGAGGUGAAAUCCCAAGGCUCAACCUUGGAACUGCCUUUGAUACUGGGGAUCUUGAGUCCGGGAGAGGUGAGUGGAACUGCGAGUGUAGAGGUGAAAUUCGUAGAUAUUCGCAAGAACACCAGUGGCGAAGGCGGCUCACUGGCCCGGUACUGACGCUGAGGUGCGAAAGCGUGGGGAGCGAACAG